CAAUGAAAACCCUUCUUCUUCUCCAUCUCCACCCACUCACCACCACCAACCUUCUUCUCAUCGUCUUCUCGCCGUGUCUUCAACGCCACCGCCUUAAAGCUCUUCGCGGCCCAACUUCCUCACCCCCAUUUCACCUCUCCCCCUCCACCGCAUCGUCGAGUCCUUCAUCGGUCCUCAUCGCUCCACCACUCUUCUCCGGCCACCGUCUUCUCUUAUCCCUCGCAUCUCGUUAUCUCGUCCUCAUCUCUAGGGCAUAGAGAAUUCGAGGAGCUUUCCAAAUCGCAGAGGAUUUCAUCCCGCUUUCGCAGUUUGUCUUUGAUCUCUAAUUCUUCUCGUCCAGGUAUUGCUCGAAAAGUCCGAAUGCUCGACUGGAUGCCACGACAAACCUCAUAUUGUUCUUCGAAAGCACGCCUCUGACUCGAUUAAGCUCAAUAGAUGAUACUUUUAUUUUAUCUUGCACUCUGCAUUGUUCGAUACUCUUCAUACAGUUGUUUGGGUUUUCCAUUUUGUGUUUGUUAGGAAUUAGACAUAAAUCAGAUCGAGUAGCUAUUUGCAGUAAAUAAAACAAUCUCUGUCAAGACAGAUCAGAGACAUGGAGAUCCAAAGCUAGAGGCAAAUACAUUAAUUCUUAGGAUGAUAACUAGAUGCAAUUAGGAGUUGAAGAACAACUUACGGCAAGCUGUAAAAACACCAUCAACAGUCAAUUUCAAAUUUCAUACCAGCUUUUCUCA
Dioscorea cayenensis subsp. rotundata (Guinea yam) is the source of this 731-nucleotide long non-coding RNA. RefSeq lists it as uncharacterized. The record is from RefSeq and is a predicted model, not a curated record. Lineage: Eukaryota; Viridiplantae; Streptophyta; Magnoliopsida; Dioscoreales; Dioscoreaceae. The transcript has 2 exons.